AGUCUGAUGGAGCAUACCAUGUGAACGAUGAAGGCCUUUUUGGUUGUAAAGUUCUUUUACGAGGGAUAAUUAUGAUAGUACUUCGUGAAUAAGUGACAGCAAACUAUGUGCCAGCAGCUGCGGUAAUACAUAGGUCGCGAGCAUUAUUCGGAUUUAUUGGGCGUAAAGCAAGCGCAGGCGGAUGUGUAAGUUCUGUGUUAAAUGCAGCUACUCAAUAGUUGUAUGCACCGAAUACUACAUGUCUAGAUUGUGGUAGGGAGUUUCGGAAUUAAGCAUGGAGCGGUGGAAUGUGUAGAUAUGCUUAAGAACACCAGAGGCGAAGGCGGAAACUUAGGCCAUAAAUGACGCUUAGGCUUGAAAGUGUGGGGAGCAAAUGGGAUUAGAUACCCCAGUAGUCCACACCGUAAACGAUGGGUAUUAGAUAUUAGGGCUUUAGCUUUAGUGUUGUAGCUUACGCGUUAAAUACCCCGCCUGGGUAGUACAUAUGCAAAUAUGAAACUCAAAGGAAUUGACGGGGACCUGAACAAGUGGUGGAGCAUGUUGCUUAAUUCGAUAAUACACGAAAAACCUUACCAAGGUUUGACAUCCCUCGCAAAGCUAUAGAAAUAUAGUGGAGGUUAUCGAGGUGACAGGUGGUGCAUGGCUGUCGUCAGCUCGUGUCUUGAGAUGUUUGGUUAAGUCCCGCAACGAGCGCAACCCCACUCUUUAGUUACUUUUCUAAAGAGACUGCACAGUAAUGUAGAGGAAGGAUGGGAUCACGUCAAGUCAUCAUGCCCCUUAUGCCUUGGGCUGCAAACGUGCUACAAUGGCGAACACAAUGUGUUGCAAACCAGCGAUGGUAAGCUAAUCACCAAAUUUCGUCUCAGUUCGGAUAGGAGGCUGCAAUUCGCCUCCUUGA
RNAcentral lists this ribosomal RNA (898 nucleotides) under uncultured Mycoplasma sp. RNAcentral describes it as "bacterial SSU rRNA". It matches the Rfam family "Bacterial small subunit ribosomal RNA", at positions 380 to 1323 of the family's 1533-position model. Lineage: Bacteria; Bacillati; Mycoplasmatota; Mollicutes; Mycoplasmatales; Mycoplasmataceae. The record is from RNAcentral.